Molecule: transfer RNA, 92 nt
Filed under: Sphaerosporella brunnea
Lineage: Eukaryota; Fungi; Ascomycota; Pezizomycetes; Pezizales; Pyronemataceae
Rfam family: tRNA
About the family: Transfer RNA (tRNA) molecules are approximately 80 nucleotides in length. Their secondary structure includes four short double-helical elements and three loops (D, anti-codon, and T loops). Further hydrogen bonds mediate the characteristic L-shaped molecular structure. tRNAs have two regions of fundamental functional importance: the anti-codon, which is responsible for specific mRNA codon recognition, and the 3' end, to which the tRNAs corresponding amino acid is attached (by aminoacyl-tRNA synthetases). tRNAs cope with the degeneracy of the genetic code in two manners: having more than one tRNA (with a specific anti-codon) for a particular amino acid; and 'wobble' base-pairing, i.e. permitting non-standard base-pairing at the 3rd anti-codon position.
Source: Rfam by way of RNAcentral
GUCAGAGUGUCGGAGUGGUUAACGAGUGAGACUUGAAUUAUCUUCGAUAUCUCAUGCCUUCGGGCUCGCAGGUUCGAAUCCUGUCUCUGACG